UGUGAUGCUUAGAAACUACUAGAAAGGUUUCAAAUUCAAAGUCUGUCAGCAACUAUUCCCAGCAAAAUUUAGAGCUUUGACAGCAGAUUGGCCACCAACUCCUGUAUAUAUUCCAACUGUUGUCGUACCUCUUCAUUAAUAAUAGCAGGGCGAAUAGUAGCAAGAUCGGUUGUGGUCUGACGAGAAGGAUACUCUAUGAAAGUACUUAUUUGAUUGAGAAGGAUGGUCAGAGUAUGUACACUAGAAUCUAGAAUUUGAUGGAAAUAAACCGGUAGAGGUCCAUGCCAAAUCCCAGUUUCCUCAUUGCAAACAAAAAAAAACCUGUUGAUACACAUGAGUCUCUUAUUUGUACCAACCUGUUAAUACCAAAAACAAUCAAACAAAAUUAAUUAAUAUACAAAAAAGUGGGGAUAGAACAAUAAUAUUUCGGAUCUGAAUAAUAUAAAAAAAAAAUUGUUACAAAAUUAAUUUUUAAAAACACACGAAUCUUUUGAUACAAAAAUUAAUCAAACAGAUCUGAUUAAUAUACAAAUUUUUUUUUUUAAAAAAAGAACACAUUGAUACAGAUCGGCCUUCUAUUUGUAGCGACCUGUUGAUACCAAAAACAAUAACACGGGGGGAAAACUGGCGAGAUAGAACAAGUAUAUUUAAUAUUUGAUGUAGGGGUACUAUAUACAACAUACAUGUGGCACCAUCUCUACUGUCCAUCAUGGUGCCACAUGUCAACAUCUAAUGGGCUCUCUCUUGAUGGCACAAGUUACAAAGUUAAGCCUUAUUAUUACAAAGAUAUUUUCCCCAUUAUUACCCUAUUAAUUGUUAAGAAUGGAGUUACAUUGUAGCCUAUAAAUAUAAAGGCAAACUACUCAUCUUCUCAUGGUCUCAUUGUGAAUCAUACACAAGAUCUCAACACUCUCUCAUGAGACCUCACCUCUCAGGUCUCAUCUCUCUCUCUUGAGCUCUCUCCAUUAUCGAGCUCCCAUUUUGUAUCACCACUACUAUAAUAAAGUUCAUUCUCUCUCUCCGUGGAUGUAGGCACAAUUGCCGAACCACGUAUACAAUGGUGUUCACGUCUCCACUUUAUUAUUGUUCAUAUCAUACUCAUCAUCAUCUUUCAUCAAAUGUAUUGACCAACCUCACAAAAAUGGUUAAUACAUUUGGCACCGACUAUAGGGACUUGGGAUUUUCUCAAGCGAAUUCCACCCACCAACCCCACCGAACACCAUUGUUCUAAGGUUCUUAGAUGGUGAUUUUCAAGAAAUUCAUUGAAUUUGAAAAGAUAGAAUUGCAACUCACAGUUGGGGGCUUGGAGCAAAUUGUUUACACAAUUACUGGACUCGACAGAAGCAAGAGUUUCACAUAUAUUUAUCUGGUGAUAUAUUUUCAUGUCUACCAACGACCUCUCAGGUCUCGUCGCAACCUCACCAGAUCCUUCAUACCAGGUCUUUCAUGCCAGGUCCUUCAUACCAGGUCCUUCAUCGCGACCUCACCAGGUCUAUCAACGACCUCCUCAAAUUACAGGUCUUUCAACGACCUCAAGAAUAUUUAUGCCAUACAGGGGGCUAUUCUCACUUUAUCAAAUGAAAUUAACUUAUUAUUAGCACAAUUAGCUAUUAAUGAUAUUUUUUGUAGCUCUCUCUAUGUGCAGGUCACAUGAACACGACCUCACUCCCCAUGAGCUAUUUUUGCACAAAUGUGCCACAUUGCUUUCACUGAACUCUUUACAAGUGAAAUGAUUGAUAUACAAUACGGUCACCUUCAUUGACUAGUGAGUCACUCGUAUGCGGGACGACCUCAAACACAAUUCUCUAGCCACACGCCUGGUCGAACGCAUUCACUCUCAACGCAAUGCAGACCCACAAAGGCCACAUGCCCGAGAAUUGUCAAACAGGUCUCCACGCUGCGACCAUUCACUAGAUCGGGCACCAAAAGGUUCCAAGUAACUCUCAAAACACUUGGUCAACCAAUGCUCUUUCUCAAACGAGCUACAUGUGCACUCCAAAGUGCCACAUCUAUUGGAAUGUCCAAUCACAAGGCGACAAAGAUAGUACAUACAAAACUCAUAAGGAAGACAUACAGUUCAGUGUAAGUCUCUUACUAAAUUUUAUAAUAUUUCACAUGCUAACAUUAUCAACAAGUAUCAGGUCUAUGCAACUCGACCACAAAAAGACAACCACCCAUGUAUGCAAGAAGACCCACUUCAGUACGACCUGCUUGCAGCUGUCCAUCUCGUUUACAUGCCUUCUGAACGAGCUACCAGGUCUCCCUGGAACUAACUAGCUCGCUAUACACAAAUUCAUGAUCGAGUUGCCAUUACCACAAGGGACCUUCAUCGCGUCCUGCAAAUCUCAAUGAUCAAGCUUAUCAAAAUUUGGGGCGGAUCGACUUCGUUAAAGAACCCCAUAUUUCAUUCAUCUUGGGGGCUGGAUCGGUUCGAUUACUUCUUUUCAGCCCGAACUCCGUUCAACCUAAAAAGAGGGGGCUUAUGUAGGGGUACUAUAUACAACAUACAUGUGGCACCAUCUCUACCGUCCAUCAUGGUGCCACAUGUCAACAUCUAAUGGGCUCUCUCUUGAUGGCACAAGUUACAAAGUUAAGCCUUAUUAUUACAAAGAUAUUUUCCCCAUUAUUACCCUAUUAAUUGUUAAGAAUGGAGUUACAUUGUAGCCUAUAAAUAUAAAGGCAAACUACUCAUCUUCUCAUGGUCUCAUUGUGAAUCAUACACAAGAUCUCAACACUCUCUCACGAGACCUCACCUCUCAGGUCUCAUCUCUCUCUCUUGAGCUCUCUCCAUUAUCGAGCUCCCAUUUUGUAUCACCACUACUAUAAUAAAGUUCAUUCUCUCUCUCCGUGGAUGUAGGCACAAUUGCCGAACCACGUAUACAAUGGUGUUCACGUCUCUACUUUAUUAUUGUUCAUAUCAUACACAUCAUCAUCUUUCAUUAAUGUAUUGACCAACCUCACAAAAAUGGUUAAUACAUCUGAUUAAUAUACAAAAUUUUGUUAGAAAAUUAGAAAUACCAACCUGUUGAGUGUUGAUACAGAUCGCAUCUUAUUUGUGCCAACCUGUUGAUACCAAAUAUAUAUAUCACACAAAUCAUAUGAACUAUCUGUGGUGAAAAACUAGUUGUUAAAAAAGAAAGAGAACACACAAUUCAUAAAGAGAUGGUAAUGGAUUCUCUCUCUCUCUCUCUCAAACAACCACCCACCUCCAAGAAAAAUACAAGAAUACAAUCAAAAGUUAAGGACAAAAGACUAUCUGUCUUCUAGAAAGAUGGAUAGUAUUAUUAUCUUCAUCCACUACUAGUACAAUGAAUAAGAAUAUCACCCCUAAGCAUGAAUGCUGCACUAUGGAUCUCAAAUUCUUGCUCUUGAUGACUUUCUUGUAAUAUUUCCUGAGAAAGAUUAGGUUUUUAGGUAUAUCAUGAAAUAGAGUCACAGAUAUGAAGCGGCUGAGCUGAGGGGAGAAGAAGAUAAUAAGUGAUUAUAUAUACGGUAUACCUAACAAACCAAUUAGUGAACUCUUAAUCGAGAUUUAGGUUUGGGAAUUAGCAAAUGGUGUACGUUGAUUAAAGGCUAAUCUAAAGGUCAACGAUAAUUGAUUAGGUUUACAAUACAAUUAUAUUACUAAUAAUCACGAAUAAUU
RNAcentral lists this long non-coding RNA (3643 nucleotides) under Aquilegia coerulea. RNAcentral describes it as "long non-coding RNA (ACOE_LNC000813)". Lineage: Eukaryota; Viridiplantae; Streptophyta; Magnoliopsida; Ranunculales; Ranunculaceae. The record is from RNAcentral.